RNAcentral lists this ribosomal RNA (253 nucleotides) under uncultured bacterium. Its description in RNAcentral is "partial 16S ribosomal RNA". It matches the Rfam family "Bacterial small subunit ribosomal RNA", at positions 524 to 776 of the family's 1533-position model. The record is from RNAcentral.
UACGUAGGGUGCAAGCGUUGUCCGGAAUUAUUGGGCGUAAAGAGCUCGUAGGCGGUCUGUCACGUCGGCUGUGAAAUCCCGAGGCUCAACCUCGGGUCUGCAGUCGAUACGGGCAAACUAGAGUAUUGCAGGGGAGACUGGAAUUCCUGGUGUAGCGGUGAAAUGCGCAGAUAUCAGGAGGAACACCGGUGGCGAAGGCGGGUCUCUGGGCAAUAACUGACUCUGAGGAGCGAAAGCGUGGGGAGCGAACAGG